UGAAUGGCAGAGGACGACUAUUUCUAUUCCCAACAAGAUUGAAUUUCACAAGCAGUUGUCCUUGCCUUCUGUUCACAGUCGGGAGGAUUGGCUUGGUACUUGAAGAAGGGUCGCUAUGCUCAGUGAGGCGAAACCAGAGGUCUGGUUUUCAUAGUCGUUGUACUUGAAUACCUAGCUACUGAAUUACUAAACCUUUAGGUUAACCUCAAGUAGGCUGAAUUGGAGUUUCUUGGGAGCUUCUGGUCAAAAAAAGAAGAAAAAGAAGAAAACUUGUCGACUUUAUGCAGAUGGCUGGAAAAAGAGAUACUUGUACACAAAUGGAUUUUAUUUUGCAGAUUUUGAUAAAUGGAAUCAAAGCGGGUUAAAGUAUUGGAUAAUGGCCAUAGAAUCAUUGUUGACGCAAAGAGAAAACGGGCAGCUCAAUGUGCAGCAAAUAUAAUUGAAGCAAGCCACAAGCCUUUGUCAGUUCAGACCAACCAUAAUUCAUUAUUUCCAAAGCUUGGCAAGCAGAAAAGACUGGUUGGAUGCAAAACCAAAUGCGGGGUGCACUUGAGAAAAUCGUUACAUAAGAACUAUUCCAAUUUCAUGAAAAGUGGACUGCCACAACGGUCACUGUUUUAUCAGAAUGGUGACUGGAAUGGUUUUCCUCAUGAUAUUGUUGUGUUGGUUAGCAAAGAUUUUCAAAUGAAAAAUGCGGCAAUUGAAGUGCAGUUCAAGGGCUGCAAUUUAAUGUUUCAUAUCUUGUACAUGAUUCAAGUAGAUUUGAAGACAGGUUCCCAGAAGCCUAUAGCUUGGAUUGAUGAAUCUGGUAGCUGAUUUUUUCCUUAAUUAUACUCUACUAAUGGUGGAAUACAUGAAUACAAUCAAUCUGAGUUAGAAAAAGAUGAAUUCGGGUAUGCGGAGCCAAAUGGGCCCCUGAAAUCAAGUUGCAUCUUCAAAUAGAAGUAAACAGAGUUAAUGGCUUCAAUUUGGAGGAAUGUGUGAAAGAGUCAAAUAUUUGUGCUAAGCGAAUUAAAAUUGAACAAAAAUCUAACAGAAAUAAUGAUGAGCUAGGCAUUGAUGACAAUUAUAAUGAAAAAUCUGUUUCAAAAAUGGACAAGGUUGUUGAGAAAGUUCAACAGAGUGGCAAAAAUUUAUCCUCUAAGUUUGAAUAUGCUUGUGAAACUGUAGAUUUAGAUACUGUGAAAAGCAUGUUCGUUGUGGGCAUGAACCCGUCCUUGAAUGCAAACAUACUUGAAAUUAAUAGAUGCUCUGGUAAUGUGAUGCAAACUCGCUGGGAAAUUUUUCACAAGCAGAUUGAGAUAACUCAAAGGUAUCGUGGGGAUCCAAAUGUUUGGAAUGCUUGGUUCGCUUCUACAAAAGAUGCACUGCUUAGUAUCAUGACCUAUGGGCUUCCACAUUGUGGACUCAAAACUAAGGCCACAUAUGGUUUUGGAGUUCACCUUGCAGCUGUGAAGUGUGCCCUCACCAGUGCAAGUAAUUGUGAUGUUAAUGAAAAUGGAAUACAACACAUGGUGUUUUGCCAUGUCAUACUGGGAAAUAUGGAACUUGUUCAUCUUGGAUCUAGACAAUUUCAUCCCAGUAGUGAAAAUUUUGAUAGUGGAGUUGAUGAUCUGCAAAAUCUGAGUCAUUAUAUUGUUUGGAACAUGAAUAUGAGGACACACAUCUAUCUAGAAUAUGUUGUCAGUUUCAAGACGUCCCACAGUGCUGAAGGUGCUACUUAAUACCAUGGUUAUCAGAAUCCCGAUCUGGAUCUUACGAUCCUACGAUCUUAUGAUCCAUUUGAGUACCAUCGAUCCGGAUCGUGUACAAAACUCCUUAUAGAAGCUCUGGUCGGGAAAGGAAGUCGAUUUGAUGUACCUGGUGUUACUACUUGUCAGGCCAUCAUGGUCAAUUGCAACUAGAUUCAUCUUCAGUUGAAACAAUCCAAAAUGAAGGACAUUAUCUGCAGUUGAAAGCUAAAGAUGCUCUGCUAAAUGCUCUUCUUGUGGCUGCUAAAAGAUUUAGUUUAGGCCCCUCACAGGUGCUUUCUCUUCUUUAUCCUGAUUGGAUCUGCGGGUGCUCUAAUGCUUGAAACAGAUGCAAUUUUUGGGAUAUUUUAUCAAAAAGCUCGACUGAAUGUUAGAUUUUGCUAAUGUAUCUUGUUUUUAUUUUAUUUUAUUUUUGCUUUGUUUUAUUUUGGUGUUGUAUUUAUCAUUUGAAUGAAGUGUUUAUUUAUGUAUUUGUUUUGGGUUACUUGAAGAAGUGUUUGAUUAAAAGUUGGUUACAGCUCUUAACACAAAUCUGUCUUGCACUCUCUACUCUUAUACUUCAUGUUGUCGAGCAUAGUAAACCUAUUGUCCCUAUGGAAAAGUCACUCCUUAUUUUGUUGUUGCUAACCUCUCUCUGUCUCUGGUUCUCACUAAGGUUUGAGCUCCUCAGAUCCCUUACUACCCUACAUGUUAUACCGUACGUCUAAACCAUGGUUUUUAAAAAUGGGCCACAAUGUAACUGUAUGGGUGGUUACCACCAUCCGUUAUGGCCGCUAUAGUGGUGUGACUGAGACACAUAUAUGUUGUCUAAUCUGGAGUUGCCCACUGAAAACCCCACAAAUUUAGUGCUUUUGCUGCUCCUGCACUUAGUUGCUGCUGCUGCAGAGUUGUUUUUGAAGCUGCUGCAAGUUGCCCACUGAAAGCCCCACCAAUUUAGUAGCUUGGACCAUAUCUUCCACACUUUAGAGCACUGUAACAGAACAUGGUUGCUAGAUUCAGCUUCACUUUUA
Non-coding RNA from Camellia sinensis, 2761 nucleotides. The record is from RefSeq and is a predicted model, not a curated record. Lineage: Eukaryota; Viridiplantae; Streptophyta; Magnoliopsida; Ericales; Theaceae.